Molecule: ribosomal RNA, 497 nt
Filed under: uncultured bacterium
Lineage: Bacteria
Description: partial 16S ribosomal RNA
Rfam family: Bacterial small subunit ribosomal RNA
Source: RNAcentral
GAUGAACGCUGGCGGCGUGCCUAAUACAUGCAAGUCGAGCGAACGGACGAGAAGCUUGCUUCUCUGAUGUUAGCGGCGGACGGGUGAGUAACACGUGGAUAACCUACCUAUAAGACUGGGAUAACUUCGGGAAACCGGAGCUAAUACCGGAUAAUAUUUUGAACCGCUUGGUUCAAAAGUGAAAGACGGUCUCGCUGUCACUUAUAGAUGGAUCCGCGCUGCAUUAGCUAGUUGGUAAGGUAACGGCUUACCAAGGCAACGAUGCAUAGCCGACCUGAGGGGGUGAUCGGCCACACUGGAACUGAGGCACGGUCCAGACUCCUACGGGAGGCAGCAGUAGGGAAUCUUCCGCAAUGGGCGAAAGCCUGACGGAGCAACGCCGCGUGAGUGAUGAAGGUCUUCGGAUCGUAAAACUCUGUUAUUAGGGAAGAACAUAUGUGUAAGUAACUGUGCACAUCUUGACGGUACCUAAUCAGAAAGCCACGGCUAACUACGUG